UACGAAGGGGGCUAGCGUUGUUCGGAAUUAUUGGGCGUAAAGGGAGCGUAGGCGGUUCGGCAAGUCUCUAGUGAAAUCUCUGGGCUCAACCUAGAGCCUGCAGGCGAAACUGCCGUGCUUGAGGGUGGGAGAGGUGCGUGGAAUUCCCGGUGUAGCGGUGAAACGCGUAGAUAUCGGGAGGAACACCUGUGGCGAAAGCGGCGCACUGGACCACAUCUGACGCUGAGGCGCGAAAGCUAGGGGAGCAAACAGG
This 253-nucleotide ribosomal RNA is filed under the name uncultured bacterium. RNAcentral describes it as "partial 16S ribosomal RNA". It matches the Rfam family "Bacterial small subunit ribosomal RNA", at positions 524 to 776 of the family's 1533-position model. The record is from RNAcentral.